GCCGUUCGCCAGGGGUCUCCGGCCGGCACAUGCCGAACGGAGUGAGACAUACCCUUCGAACCUGAUGCGGUUGAGACCGCCGUAGGGAGGCUGACCGGCCUCCCU
RNAcentral lists this non-coding RNA (105 nucleotides) under Thiobacillus sp. Its description in RNAcentral is "TPP sequence". It matches the Rfam family "TPP riboswitch aptamer (THI element)". Rfam says of the family: Vitamin B(1) in its active form thiamin pyrophosphate (TPP) is an essential coenzyme that is synthesised by coupling of pyrimidine and thiazole moieties in bacteria. The previously detected thiamin-regulatory element, thi box was extended, resulting in a new, highly conserved RNA secondary structure, the THI element, which is widely distributed in eubacteria and also occurs in some archaea. Lineage: Bacteria; Pseudomonadati; Pseudomonadota; Betaproteobacteria; Nitrosomonadales; Thiobacillaceae. The record is from RNAcentral.